RNAcentral lists this non-coding RNA (160 nucleotides) under Chrysotila carterae. The record is from RNAcentral. Lineage: Eukaryota; Haptophyta; Isochrysidales; Isochrysidaceae.
UGCGGCCGCACGUACAGCAAGGCAAGCUGAGAAAAGCGAACUUACUUUGUGGCACUGUGCUUCCUGGAGAGGCUGCGCUAAGAUAUUCUAGGGAACGGCCGCAAAGAAAUUAUCCUCUUAGAUGCGAUUGGGAGAGCAAGGGUGAGAGGGCCAGCUAAAA